GAUCAAGCGUCUGAAGGGCAUCUGGUGGAUGCCUUGGCACUGAGAGGCGAUGAAGGACGUAGCACGUUGCGAUAAGCUGUGGGGAGCCGCGAGCAGGCAUUGAUCCGCAGAUUUCCGAAUGGGGAAACCCACCCCUUUGGGGUAUCCCACACUGAAUCCAUAGGUGUGGGAAGCGAACCCGGCGAACUGAAACAUCUAAGUAGCCGGAGGAAAGGACAUCAACCGAGACUCCGCUAGUAGUGGCGAGCGAACGCGGACCAGGCCAGUGAUUGCUUCUAUAUAACCGGAACCGUCUGGAAAGUCGGGCCACAGUGGGUGAUAGCCCCGUACGGGUGAACCGGAAGCAAUCCACGAGUAGGGCGGGACACGUGAAAUCCUGUCUGAACAUGGGGGGACCACCCUCCAAGCCUAAGUACUCCUCAGUGACCGAUAGUGCACCAGUACCGUGAGGGAAAGGUGAAAAGCACCCCGACAAGGGGAGUGAAACAGUUCCUGAAACCGGAUGCCUACAAGCAGUCGGAGCCGCCUUGCGCGGUGACGGCGUACCUUUUGUAUAAUGGGUCAGCGACUUAGAGUAUGCAGCAAGCUUAAGCCGAUAGGUGGAGGCGCAGCGAAAGCGAGUCUGAAUAGGGCGACCGAGUUGCAUGCUUUAGACCCGAAACCUGAUGAUCUAGCCAUGGGCAGGUUGAAGGUGCGGUAACACGCACUGGAGGACCGAACUCACGCCUGUUGAAAAAGUCGGAGAUGACCUGUGGCUAGGGGUGAAAGGCCAAUCAAAUCAGGAAAUAGCUGGUUCUCCGCGAAAGCUAUUUAGGUAGCGCGUCGGAUAUUGCCUGCGGGGGUAGAGCACUGGAUGGGCUAGGGGGGCGCGAGCCUUACCAAACCUAACCAAACUCCGAAUACCGCAGAGCACAGUCCGGCAGACAGACGGUGGGUGCUAAGGUCCAUCGUCGAGAGGGAAACAGCCCAGACCGCCAGCUAAGGUCCCCAAAUCACGGCUAAGUGGGAAAGGAUGUGGGAAGGCCAUGACAACCAGGAGGUUGGCUUAGAAGCAGCCAUCCUUUAAAGAAAGCGUAAUAGCUCACUGGUCUAGUUAAGCCGGCCUGCGCCGAAAAUGUAUCGGGGCUCAAGCCGUGUACCGAAGCUGCGGAUGUGAUCUUUGAUCACGUGGUAGCGGAGCGUUCCGUAAGCCUGCGAAGGGUGUCCGUGAGGCCGCCUGGAGGUAUCGGAAGUGAGAAUGCUGACAUGAGUAGCGACAAAGAGUGUGAGAAACACUCUCGCCGAAAGUCCAAGGGUUCCUGCGCAAGGUUAAUCCACGCAGGGUGAGCCGGCCCCUAAGGCGAGGCCGAAAGGCGUAGUCGAUGGGAA
This 1368-nucleotide ribosomal RNA is filed under the name Azospirillum griseum. RNAcentral describes it as "Bacterial large subunit ribosomal RNA". It matches the Rfam family "Bacterial large subunit ribosomal RNA", at positions 1 to 1424 of the family's 2925-position model. The record is from Rfam by way of RNAcentral. Lineage: Bacteria; Pseudomonadati; Pseudomonadota; Alphaproteobacteria; Rhodospirillales; Azospirillaceae.